UCCAGACUCCUACGGGAGGCAGCAGUGAGGAAUAUUGGUCAAUGGACGGAAGUCUGAACCAGCCAUGCCGCGUGCAGGAUGACGGCUCUAUGAGUUGUAAACUGCUUUUGUAUUAGGGUAAACACCCCUACGUGUAGGGGCUUGAAAGUAUAAUACGAAUAAGGAUCGGCUAACUCCGUGCCAGCAGCCGCGGUAAUACGGAGGAUCCAAGCGUUAUCCGGAUUUAUUGGGUUUAAAGGGUGCGUAGGCGGGAUGCCAAGUCAGCGGUAAAAAUGCGGUGCUCAACGCCGUCGAGCCGUUGAAACUGGCGUUCUUGAGUGGGCGAGAAGUAUGCGGAAUGCGUGGUGUAGCGGUGAAAUGCAUAGAUAUCACGCAGAACUCCGAUUGCGAAGGCAGCAUACCGGCGCCCUACUGACGCUGAGGCACGAAAGCGUGGGUAUCGAACAGGAUUAGAUACCCUAGUAGG
RNAcentral lists this ribosomal RNA (466 nucleotides) under uncultured bacterium. RNAcentral's name for it is "bacterial SSU rRNA". It matches the Rfam family "Bacterial small subunit ribosomal RNA", at positions 330 to 794 of the family's 1533-position model. The record is from RNAcentral.